RNAcentral lists this unclassified non-coding RNA (344 nucleotides) under soil metagenome. Its description in RNAcentral is "partial contains 5.8S ribosomal RNA, internal transcribed spacer 2, and large subunit ribosomal RNA". The stretch from base 1 to 120 matches the Rfam family "5.8S ribosomal RNA", at positions 35 to 154 of the family's 154-position model. The record is from RNAcentral.
GAUGAAGAACGCAGCGAAAUGCGAUAAGUAAUGUGAAUUGCAGAAUUCAGUGAAUCAUCGAAUCUUUGAACGCAUAUUGCGCCCCUUGGUAUUCCGAAGGGCAUGCCUGUUAGAGCGUCAUGAUCAACCCCUCAAGCCUUGCUUGGUAUUGGGUUUCGUCUCCCCUGUCUCUGUACAGUUAGUGACGUACCUGAAAGUCAAUGGUGGUGCCUCAGUAGACUCAGGCGAAGCAGACUGACUCGCUUUAGAGAACUUUUGGUGGUCCCAUCAACAAAAUAACCAAAAUUUGACCUCGGAUCAGGUAGGGAUACCCGCUGAACUUAAGCAUAUCAAUAAGCGGAGGA